This 170-nucleotide microRNA precursor is filed under the name Setaria italica (foxtail millet). Its description in RNAcentral is "MIR2118 microRNA precursor family". It matches the Rfam family "MIR2118 microRNA precursor family". The record is from Rfam by way of RNAcentral. RNAcentral also lists the same sequence under 1 other name. Lineage: Eukaryota; Viridiplantae; Streptophyta; Magnoliopsida; Poales; Poaceae.
GCCAGGAAGAGGAAGAAUGAGAUGGCCUGAGAGCAGUGGGAAUGGGAACAUGGAGGAAAGCCUAACUUGUCUGUAUUCUCCUCCAACAAUGGAGGUUGAAUUUGGUUUGGGCUUUCCUAGUGCUUCCCAUUCCUAUUACUCUUGAGCACUCCUUCCUCCUUUUUGCUUAC